AGACAUCUUAAUGAAAGCCCUCCUAAGCUCUUGGACUGGGUGCGGGAUGUAGGUGGCGUAAGCUGAGGACUUCCAGCGACCCAGUGUUUUAAUGACAUGAACGGGAACGUUUUGGCUAGAGGCUGUGGAGGCCGCUCCAAUUCUGAAGGAGUGCCCCGAGUAGCUACUAGGGUUCAGACCAAGCCUGGUGAUAAGCAUGAAUUUCGCUGUGGUGAGAAUGGUAUCGUGCAACAUUAGUAGAGGUCUUGCGGGUUGUGUUGGUUUCGUGGCUAAGAAAACGUCUAGUGCUUUUACUGGGCACCAAUUGUUACCCGUGGGGUAGUAGUUUAUGUGAACUGGUUCCCCCAUCUGACUUGUCUUAGUCUUAGAUAGAGACAGGACGUAGUAGUCUGUGUGUUUCGUGAGAUGUGACGUGAGG
Molecule: non-coding RNA, 418 nt
Organism: Pelobates cultripes (western spadefoot toad)
Lineage: Eukaryota; Metazoa; Chordata; Amphibia; Anura; Pelobatidae
Source: the annotation of a GenBank genome assembly